Molecule: ribosomal RNA, 464 nt
Filed under: Vreelandella stevensii
Lineage: Bacteria; Pseudomonadati; Pseudomonadota; Gammaproteobacteria; Oceanospirillales; Halomonadaceae
Description: partial 16S ribosomal RNA
Rfam family: Bacterial small subunit ribosomal RNA
Source: RNAcentral
CCUACGGGAGGCAGCAGUGGGGAAUAUUGGACAAUGGGCGAAAGCCUGAUCCAGCCAUGCCGCGUGUGUGAAGAAGGCCUUCGGGUUGUAAAGCACUUUCAGUGGGGAAGAAAGCCUUGGGGCUAAUACCCUCGAGGAAGGACAUCACCCACAGAAGAAGCACCGGCUAACUCCGUGCCAGCAGCCGCGGUAAUACGGAGGGUGCGAGCGUUAAUCGGAAUUACUGGGCGUAAAGCGCGCGUAGGCGGUCUGAUAAGCCGGUUGUGAAAGCCCCGGGCUCAACCUGGGAACGGCAUCCGGAACUGUCAGGCUAGAGUGCAGGAGAGGAAGGUAGAAUUCCCGGUGUAGCGGUGAAAUGCGUAGAGAUCGGGAGGAAUACCAGUGGCGAAGGCGGCCUUCUGGACUGACACUGACGCUGAGGUGCGAAAGCGUGGGUAGCAAACAGGAUUAGAUACCCGUGUAGC